AUUGAACGCUGGCGGCAUGCUUUACACAUGCAAGUCGAACGGGGUGAGGGGGCAACCUCUCAUCUAGUGGCGAACGGGUGAGUAAUGCAUCGGAACGUGUCCCGUAGUGGGGGAUAACCCGGCGAAAGCCGGACUAAUACCGCAUAUGCUCUACGGAGGAAAGUGGGGGACCUGUAAGGGCCUCACGCUAUGGGAGCGGCCGAUGUCCGAUUAGCUUGUUGGUGAGGUAAUGGCUCACCAAGGCGACGAUCGGUAGCUGGUCUGAGAGGAUGAUCAGCCACACUGGGACUGAGACACGGCCCAGACUCCUACGGGAGGCAGCAGUGGGGAAUUUUGGACAAUGGGGGCAACCCUGAUCCAGCCAUG
Molecule: ribosomal RNA, 366 nt
Filed under: uncultured bacterium
Lineage: Bacteria
Description: bacterial SSU rRNA
Rfam family: Bacterial small subunit ribosomal RNA
Source: RNAcentral